UACGUAGGGGGCAAGCGUUAUCCGGAAUCACUGGGCGUAAAGGGUGCGUAGGUGGUUCUUCAAGUCAGAAGUGAAAGGCAGUGGCUUAACCACUGUAAGCUUUUGAAACUGAGGAACUUGAGUGCAGGAGAGGUAAGUGGAAUUCCUAGUGUAGCGGUGAAAUGCGUAGAUAUUAGGAGGAACACCAGUGGCGAAGGCGACUUACUGGACUGUUACUGACACUGAGGCACGAAAGCGUGGGGAGCAAACAGG
Molecule: ribosomal RNA, 252 nt
Filed under: uncultured bacterium
Lineage: Bacteria
Description: partial 16S ribosomal RNA
Rfam family: Bacterial small subunit ribosomal RNA
Source: RNAcentral